This 65-nucleotide transfer RNA is filed under the name Megathrips lativentris. Its description in RNAcentral is "tRNA-Glu". The record is from RNAcentral. Lineage: Eukaryota; Metazoa; Arthropoda; Insecta; Thysanoptera; Phlaeothripidae.
AUUUGUAUAGUUUAUUUUAAAACAUUAUAUUUUCAUUAUAAAAAUAUUAAUUUUAUUUACAAAUA